Long non-coding RNA from Hyla sarda, 292 nucleotides. RefSeq lists it as uncharacterized. The record is from RefSeq and is a predicted model, not a curated record. NCBI's taxonomy places the organism in Eukaryota, Metazoa, Chordata, Amphibia, Anura, Hylidae. The transcript is spliced from 3 exons.
ACUGAUGAUACAUUGUUAUCUACUGACUUCUGGUAUCAAGCUCCAUGUUAUUACUCUCAUCUGUGAACAAAUGUUACCAGGGGUUAGCUGAAAAGCCAAGAUCAAUUUACAGGACAGCAACACUAGGACUGGCAGAAUGUACAGUACAGCAGAGGAUAUGGAUGUAGUUGUUAAGGAGAAAGGAUCAAAUUCUCCUCUACAGAAGAGAUGACCAGGAACCUUUACUUCCUCCAGUGCCCAUCAGUCACAUCUUCUGCUUAGUUGGUUACAGUCUUUUUACCACAGGUCCUUC